This 892-nucleotide small RNA is filed under the name Histoplasma capsulatum var. duboisii H88. RNAcentral describes it as "Histoplasma capsulatum H88 hypothetical RNA". Lineage: Eukaryota; Fungi; Ascomycota; Eurotiomycetes; Onygenales; Ajellomycetaceae. The record is from RNAcentral.
AUAUGGCCUGAGAAAGGCGUUGUUGAGCAUAAAAACUAUUACGGAGCCAAAGUAUCGUUCAAACAACGAAAGCAAGCGAUCACCGUACAGCAUUGCGCGGCUCUAGCCUUUCGAUAUGGCUAAAUUUGCCAAAGCGCAAAGUUAACAAUAUGUUUUUUACGAGAGCCUCGAUCCGAGCGCUCUGAGGGAAAUAUAACCUAACCUAACCUUGAUAGAUAACCUUGACUUGGAGUAGCACUUCCAUUGUGCGCUCGCUACUCACUUGCUUUCUGAUACACCCUGAGAUGUUUUUUAUAGGACCAAUUUUAAAUUUUCGAAUUUAUUCUUCAAAUAUAUUGCUCUGCAUCGAGCGACAUUACCCUCAUUCGUCCAUUUGUUCGGCCGGAAUCACACCAUCACAAUAUUGCUCGAAUGCAAGGGACCAUAUUUAGUUAGGACUGGAUUUCUGAAUGGCUUGAGCUUUCAGCAAUAGGAAAGAGCCAUCUACCUGAAAGCCAUGCUCACAUCACUACCCAAGCCGAAGCUCUAGGGAUUUUCGACUCCUCUGAUGAGCAAAAUGAAUUGAAUCUUUCCAUGUACUGAUGUGCUGUGAAAAAGGGCGACAGCUUUCUAAUUGAUGGCUGGCUACAUGCCUUUUUAUGCCAACAAGAAUCACUUGAUCUGCGAAGUCAGCUUCUAUCUGCCUGCUCUGCAACAGUCUCUUGUUCUUUAGAAGGACUUGUUUUAUGGAAGCAUCAGUCUAGAUAUCAAUUCACCUCUAUGGUUCUAUUCAUUUUUGCCCCCAUGCAAAAAAUGUAUUUAUUAUACGUUCACGAAUAAUGCCCCUUCCGAUUCAACAGCCACAAGGGCCAAGGUUGAAGACGGAUGUGGCUACCAACUCAAAUAUGCCGCC